This 497-nucleotide ribosomal RNA is filed under the name uncultured bacterium. RNAcentral describes it as "partial 16S ribosomal RNA". It matches the Rfam family "Bacterial small subunit ribosomal RNA", at positions 28 to 507 of the family's 1533-position model. The record is from RNAcentral.
GACGAACGCUGGCGGCGUGCCUAAUACAUGCAAGUAGAACGCUGAAGAGAGGAGCUUGCUCUUCUUGGAUGAGUUGCGAACGGGUGAGUAACGCGUAGGUAACCUGCCUUGUAGCGGGGGAUAACUAUUGGAAACGAUAGCUAAUACCGCAUAACAAUGGAUGACACAUGUCAUUUAUUUGAAAGGGGCAAUUGCUCCACUACAAGAUGGACCUGCGUUGUAUUAGCUAGUAGGUGAGGUAAUGGCUCACCUAGGCGACGAUACAUAGCCGACCUGAGAGGGGGAUCGGCCACACUGGGACUGAGACACGGCCCAGACUCCUACGGGAGGCAGCAGUAGGGAAUCUUCGGCAAUGGGGGCAACCCUGACCGAGCAACGCCGCGUGAGUGAAGAAGGGUUUCGGAUCGUAAAGUUCUGUUGUAAGUCAAGAACGGGUGUGAGAGUGGAAAGUUCACACUGUGACGGUAGCUUACCAGAAAGGGACGGCUAACUACGUG